Molecule: ribosomal RNA, 253 nt
Filed under: uncultured bacterium
Lineage: Bacteria
Description: partial 16S ribosomal RNA
Rfam family: Bacterial small subunit ribosomal RNA
Source: RNAcentral
UACGGAGGGUGCGAGCGUUAAUCGGAAUAACUGGGCGUAAAGGGCACGCAGGCGGGCUUUUAAGUGAGAUGUGAAAUCCCCGGGCUUAACCUGGGAAUAGCAUUUCAGACUGGGAGUCUAGAGUACUUUAGGGAGGGGUAGAAUUCCAUGUGUAGCGGUGAAAUGCGUAGAUAUAUGGAGGAACACCAGUGGCGAAGGCGGCUCUCUGGUCUGUGACUGACGCUCAGGUGCGAAAGCGUGGGGAGCAAACAGG